RNAcentral lists this ribosomal RNA (253 nucleotides) under uncultured bacterium. RNAcentral's name for it is "partial 16S ribosomal RNA". It matches the Rfam family "Bacterial small subunit ribosomal RNA", at positions 524 to 776 of the family's 1533-position model. The record is from RNAcentral.
UACGUAGGGUGCGAGCGUUAAUCGGAAUUACUGGGCGUAAAGCGUGCGCAGGCGGUUUUGUAAGCCAGAUGUGAAAUCCCCGGGCUUAACCUGGGAAUGGCAUUUGGGACUGCAAGGCUAGAGUGUGGCAGAGGAGACUGGAAUUCCUGGUGUAGCAGUGAAAUGCGCAGAUAUCAGGAGGAACACCGAUUGCGAAGGCAGCUCGCUGGAACGUUACUGACGCUGAGACGCGAAAGCGUGGGGAGCAAACAGG